This 601-nucleotide ribosomal RNA is filed under the name Plectosphaerella cucumerina. RNAcentral describes it as "partial large subunit ribosomal RNA". It matches the Rfam family "Eukaryotic large subunit ribosomal RNA", at positions 65 to 685 of the family's 3401-position model. Lineage: Eukaryota; Fungi; Ascomycota; Sordariomycetes; Glomerellales; Plectosphaerellaceae. The record is from RNAcentral.
GCAUCGGGUAUUGCCUCAGUAACGGCGAGUGAAGCGGCAACAGCUCAAAUUUGAAAUCUGGCUCCUUCGGGGCCCGAGUUGUAAUUUGCAGAGGAUGCGUCGGGUACGGGUGCCUUCCGAGUUCCCUGGAACGGGACGCCAUAGAGGGUGAGAGCCCCGUCUGGUAGGAUACCCAGCCCGUGUGACGCUCCCUCGACGAGUCGAGUAGUUUGGGAAUGCUGCUCUAACGGGAGGUAUACUCCUUCCAAGGCUAAAUACCGGCUGGAGACCGAUAGCGCACAAGUAGAGUGAUCGAAAGAUGAAAAGCACUUUGAAAAGAGAGUCAAACAGCACGUGAAAUUGUUAAAAGGGAAGCGCUCGCUACCAGACUUGGGUUCGGCGGUUCAACCGGGGCCACGCCCCGGGGCAUUCCGCCGGCCCAGGCCAGCAUCAGCUUUCCGUCGGGGGUAAAGGCGUCGGGAAUGUGGCUCCCCUUCGGGGGAGUGUUAUAGCCCGUCGUGUCAUACCCUUCGGGGGGCUGAGGUACGCGCUUCUGCAAGGAUGCUGGCGUAAUGGUAGCUAGUGACCCGUCUUGAACCACCGGACCAAAUCGAACCCUCUA